UUUUUUGAGUCCUAGUACGCAAGGAAUGGUCUCAGCGAUGCUCGACUAUAUUGGCCCCAUCGAUGUAAUUAACUUCUGGCUGCUGCAAAGAAGGAGAACAAAAGGUUUAGGGAUUAAUAAGAUCACCUUCUUAUAUGCCAUGUGGGUGCAUAGCCCCUGGCAUACU
This 166-nucleotide ribosomal RNA is filed under the name Dendronephthya sp. OC026. RNAcentral describes it as "partial 16S ribosomal RNA". Lineage: Eukaryota; Metazoa; Cnidaria; Anthozoa; Malacalcyonacea; Nephtheidae. The record is from RNAcentral.